Molecule: ribosomal RNA, 254 nt
Filed under: uncultured prokaryote
Description: partial 16S ribosomal RNA
Rfam family: Bacterial small subunit ribosomal RNA
Source: RNAcentral
ACAGAGGGUGCGAGCGUUAAUCGGAAUUACUGGGCGUAAAGCGCACGUAGGUGGCGACGUAUGUCGGGUGUGAAAGCCCCGGGCUCAACCUGGGAAUUGCGCUUGAGACUGGGCUGGCUUGAGUGCGGGAGAGGAUGGUGGAAUUCCCAGUGUAGAGGUGAAAUUCGUAGAUAUUGGGAAGAACACCGGUGGCGAAGGCGGCAUCCUGGACCGACAUUGACGCUGAGGCGCGAAAGCCAGGGGAGCAAACGGGA